RNAcentral lists this ribosomal RNA (301 nucleotides) under Blastocystis sp. RNAcentral describes it as "SSU rRNA". It matches the Rfam family "Eukaryotic small subunit ribosomal RNA", at positions 19 to 336 of the family's 1831-position model. The record is from RNAcentral. Lineage: Eukaryota; Bigyra; Opalinata; Blastocystidae.
AGUAGUCAUACGCUCGUCUCAAAGAUUAAGCCAUGCAUGUGUAAGUGUAAAUAUAGUAGUUUGGAACUGCGAAUGGCUCAUUAUAUCAGUUAUAGUUUAUUUGGUGAAGUGUACUACUUGGAUAACCGUAGUAAUUCUAGGGCUAAUACAUGAGAAAGUCCUCUGGUGAGGUGUGUUUAUUAGAAUGAAAACCAUAUGCUUCGGCAUGAUAGUGAGUAAUAGUAACCUAUCGUAUCGCAUGCUUAAUGUAGCGAUGAGUCUUUCAAGUUUACUGCCCUAUCAGCUUUCGAUGGUAGUAUAU